AUUCCAGCUCCAGUAGCGUAUAUUAAAGUUGUUGCAGUUAAAAAGCUCGUAGUUGGAUUUCUGGCUUUAUAGAACUGACCCGCCACGUUAGUGUGUGAGUGUCGGCUUCUAUAUGCCAUCCUUCCACAGAACGUUUCUACUCUUGAUUGAGCCGGAUUCGCAAUGUGGAACUUUUACUUUGAAAAAAUUAGAGUGUUCAAAGCAGGCUUACGCUAUGAAUACAUUAGCAUGGAAUAAUAAUCUAGGACUUUGGUUCUAUUUUGUUGGUUUCUAGAACUGGAGUAAUGAUUGAUAGGGAUAGUUGGGGGUGCUAGUAUUCAGCGGCCAGAGGUGAAAUUCUUGGAUUCGCUGAAGACUAACUUAUGCGAAAGCAUUCACCAAGGAUGUCUUCAUUG
Molecule: ribosomal RNA, 395 nt
Filed under: Marimonadida sp.
Lineage: Eukaryota; Cercozoa; Imbricatea; Marimonadida
Description: partial small subunit ribosomal RNA
Rfam family: Eukaryotic small subunit ribosomal RNA
Source: RNAcentral